RNAcentral lists this unclassified non-coding RNA (418 nucleotides) under Daphnia pulicaria. RNAcentral's name for it is "lactase-like protein, transcript variant X1". Lineage: Eukaryota; Metazoa; Arthropoda; Branchiopoda; Diplostraca; Daphniidae. The record is from RNAcentral.
AGUUCAACAACCCGGAAAUUAUUAUUACAGAGAAUGGUAUUAGUGACCGGGCUGGAAACGUAGACGACAUGAUCCGAGUUUACUAUUACAAGCACAACAUAAAUUCUAUGCUCAAAGCCAUCAAAAAUGGAGUUCGAGUCACUGGUUAUGCUGCUUGGUCGUUAAUUGAUAACUUUGAAUGGGGAAACGGAUUUACGCAAAAGUUUGGACUAUUUUCCAUAGACUUUGCAACGACAGAUUUGAACAGAACGGAGAAAGCCUCGGCACGUUACUAUGCCAAAAUUGUCAAAGACAAUGGAUUCACGAUGGAUCAACCAUGUAACAACAAUCCUAUAUAGUUUUUUCGAGACCCGGAAAGACCCGGUGGGUGUUUUAUUGGAAUAUUAUUGCAGUUUCUAUUGGACCUGUUUUAACUGUU